AUUGAACGCUGGCGGCAGGCCUAACACAUGCAAGUCGAGCGGAUGAAGGGAGCUUGCUCCUGGAUUCAGCGGCGGACGGGUGAGUAAUGCCUAGGAAUCUGCCUGGUCGUGGGGGAUAACGUCCGGAAACGGGCGCUAAUACCGCAUACGUCCUGAGGGUGAAAGUGGGGGAUCUUCGGACCUCACGCUAUCAGAUGAGACUAGGUCGGAUUAGCUAGUUGGUGGGGUAAAGGCCUACCAAGGCGACGAUCCGUAACUGGUCUGAGAGGAUGAUCAGUCACACUGGAACUGAGACACGGUCCAGACUCCUACGGGAGGCAGCAGUGGGGAAUAUUGGACAAUGGGCGAAAGCCUGAUCCAGCCAUGCCGCGUGUGUGAAGAAGGUCUUCGGAUUGUAAAGCACUUUAAGUUGGGAGGAAGGGCAGUAAGUUAAUACCUUGCUGCUUUGACGUUACCAACAGAAUAAGCACCGGCUAACUUCGUG
This 484-nucleotide ribosomal RNA is filed under the name uncultured bacterium. RNAcentral describes it as "partial 16S ribosomal RNA". It matches the Rfam family "Bacterial small subunit ribosomal RNA", at positions 30 to 507 of the family's 1533-position model. The record is from RNAcentral.